CUUAAAAACCAAUUACUGGCAAAGUCGUGUGACAAACUUUGAAACGUAUUUUAUUCAAUUUUUCUCUCUCUUUUUUUUUGACAGACUGAGCUGAUGUUAUGGAGGAUGGAAGAUCAACCUCUGGCUGUGCGACUAGCUGCUGUGAUCAAGGAGGUGGAGAGCCUGAGGUGUGAACAAACAACACUUCAGCAGCAGCAGCAGCAGCAGCAGCAGCAGCAGCAGCAGAGCGCUCUCACUCAGGUAGCCUCUAUUUAAAGUCCUUACAAUCUCCCUGCGUGCUGCACAUCAGCUCCUGAACGUGUCACUUUUCACCUUCAUUCACAGACGCGUAGAUCGAGCCGUGAGGACGGAGCUCAGGAGAAAGUCGGUCAGUGAAUUAAAAAACACAAACAUCUUUCUGUGGAUGAUUUUGUUUUUUUCA
RNAcentral lists this long non-coding RNA (421 nucleotides) under Sparus aurata (gilthead seabream). RNAcentral describes it as "lncRNA (ENSSAUG00010018346.1)". The record is from RNAcentral. Lineage: Eukaryota; Metazoa; Chordata; Actinopteri; Spariformes; Sparidae.